This 82-nucleotide transfer RNA is filed under the name Phycicoccus sp. 3266. RNAcentral describes it as "tRNA-Leu". It matches the Rfam family "tRNA". Rfam says of the family: Transfer RNA (tRNA) molecules are approximately 80 nucleotides in length. The record is from RNAcentral. Lineage: Bacteria; Bacillati; Actinomycetota; Actinomycetes; Micrococcales; Intrasporangiaceae.
GCGCAAGUGGCGAAAUCGGCAUACGCGCCAGACUUAGGAUCUGGUGCCUUCGGGCGUGCGGGUUCGAGUCCCGCCUUGCGCA